CAUAUUUAUGUGCUAUUUUCUGAAGAUACGUCUCUUUUCCUAUUUUAAAACAAUAUGUAAAUAUGGCGUAAUCUAACACCAUAAAAAAAACUUGCACCAUUUAAUUACUAACAUCACUUAUGUUAAUCAACCGAAGAAGGGGUUGGAAUCUAAAAUUAUAGACUAUUUGUUUUCUCUAAACAAAUGUGCGUACACACUACCCAACUGCGCAAAACCCAUAAUUCAUCAAUGGCAAUAACACGCAAACAAUGUAUCCUCAAUGUACCCUUAACUUCAUCUACCAAAGGUUCUAAUUCAACCUUCAUUUACACCGGUGCUCUACUAAUUUUACGUAAAACAUAUGUUUUCUAGAAUAAUUGAGUGUAUCUUCAAAAAAAAAACAACCCAUAAUAUGACCAAAAACCACCAUUAAAUACGGAACAAAAAAUGCUAAUGUAUCAGACAUUUUAUCUUUUUUACAAAUUUACUUUAAACGAAAAACUAGCUUCUCUAUAACUUCACA
This 502-nucleotide long non-coding RNA is filed under the name Mytilus galloprovincialis (Mediterranean mussel). Lineage: Eukaryota; Metazoa; Mollusca; Bivalvia; Mytilida; Mytilidae. The record is from RNAcentral.